CUGAUGUGAAAUCCCACGGCUCAACCGUGGAACUGCAUUGGAAACUGCCUGACUUGAGUACCGGAGAGGUGAAGGGAAUUCUCGGUGUAAGGGUGAAAUCUGUAGAUAUCGAGAGGAACACCAGUGGCGAAGGCGCUUCACUGGCCGGUAACUGACACUGAUCUGCGAAAGCAAGGGGAGCAAACAGGAUUAGAUACCCUGGGUAGUCCUUGCCGUAAACGAUGUGGAUUAGGUGUUGGGGGUGUCGAUCCCUCCAGCGCCGCAGCGUAACGCAUUAAAUCCACCACCUGGGGAGUACGGUCGCAAGACUGAAACUCAAAGAAAUUGACGGGGACCCGCACAAGCGGUUGGAGCAUGUGGUUUAAUUCGAGGCUACACGAAGAACCUUACCCAGGCUUGACAUGUAGUUGACAACGUACGAAAGUGCGUCUUCCCGCAAGGGACAAUUACACAGGUGCUGCAUGGCUGUCGUCAGCUCGUGCUGUGAAGUGUUGGGUUAAGUCCCGCAACGAGCGCAACCUUUGUUCUUAGUUGGCAUCACGUUAUGGUGGCCACUCUAAGGAGACUGCCGGUGAUAAACUGGAGGAAGGAGGAGACGACGUCAAGUCAGUAUGGCCAUUAUGCCUGGGGCUACACACGUGCUACAAUGGCCGCCACAAAGGGCAGCAAACCCGCGAGGGGGAGCAAAUCCCAAAAA
Molecule: ribosomal RNA, 697 nt
Filed under: uncultured Omnitrophica bacterium
Lineage: Bacteria; Pseudomonadati; Candidatus Omnitrophota
Description: bacterial SSU rRNA
Rfam family: Bacterial small subunit ribosomal RNA
Source: RNAcentral